UCGCGGUGAAUACGUUCCCGGGCCUUGUACACACCGCCCGUCACACCAUGGGAGUGGGUUGCACCAGAAGUAGAUAGCUUAACCUUCGGGAGGGCGUUUACCACGGUGUGAUUCAUGACUGGGGUGAAGUCGUAACAAGGUAACCCUAGGGGAACCUGGGGUUGGAUCACCUCCUUACCUUAA
This 183-nucleotide ribosomal RNA is filed under the name Aeromonas salmonicida. RNAcentral describes it as "partial 16S ribosomal RNA". It matches the Rfam family "Bacterial small subunit ribosomal RNA", at positions 1357 to 1533 of the family's 1533-position model. The record is from RNAcentral. Lineage: Bacteria; Pseudomonadati; Pseudomonadota; Gammaproteobacteria; Aeromonadales; Aeromonadaceae.